Molecule: ribosomal RNA, 551 nt
Filed under: Lactobacillus delbrueckii subsp. bulgaricus
Lineage: Bacteria; Bacillati; Bacillota; Bacilli; Lactobacillales; Lactobacillaceae
Description: bacterial SSU rRNA
Rfam family: Bacterial small subunit ribosomal RNA
Source: RNAcentral
GCGUGCCUAAUACAUGCAAGUCGAGCGAGCUGAAUUCAAAGAUUCCUUCGGGAUGAUUUGUUGGACGCUAGCGGCGGAUGGGUGAGUAACACGUGGGCAAUCUGCCCUAAAGACUGGGAUACCACUUGGAAACAGGUGCUAAUACCGGAUAACAACAUGAAUCGCAUGAUUCAAGUUUGAAAGGCGGCGCAAGCUGUCACUUUAGGAUGAGCCCGCGGCGCAUUAGCUAGUUGGUGGGGUAAAGGCCUACCAAGGCAAUGAUGCGUAGCCGAGUUGAGAGACUGAUCGGCCACAUUGGGACUGAGACACGGCCCAAACUCCUACGGGAGGCAGCAGUAGGGAAUCUUCCACAAUGGACGCAAGUCUGAUGGAGCAACGCCGCGUGAGUGAAGAAGGUUUUCGGAUCGUAAAGCUCUGUUGUUGGUGAAGAAGGAUAGAGGCAGUAACUGGUCUUUAUUUGACGGUAAUCAACCAGAAAGUCACGGCUAACUACGUGCCAGCAGCCGCGGUAAUACGUAGGUGGCAAGCGUUGUCCGGAUUUAUUGGGCGUA